RNAcentral lists this ribosomal RNA (541 nucleotides) under uncultured bacterium. RNAcentral describes it as "partial 16S ribosomal RNA". It matches the Rfam family "Bacterial small subunit ribosomal RNA", at positions 355 to 888 of the family's 1533-position model. The record is from RNAcentral.
UGGGGAAUUUUGGACAAUGGGCGAAAGCCUGAUCCAGCAAUGCCGCGUGUGUGAAGAAGGCCUUCGGGUUGUAAAGCACUUUUGUCCGGAAAGAAAUCCUUGGCUCUAAUACAGUCGGGGGAUGACGGUACCGGAAGAAUAAGCACCGGCUAACUACGUGCCAGCAGCCGCGGUAAUACGUAGGGUGCAAGCGUUAAUCGGAAUUACUGGGCGUAAAGCGUGCGCAGGCGGUUUGCUAAGACCGAUGUGAAAUCCCCGGGCUCAACCUGGGAACUGCAUUGGUGACUGGCAGGCUAGAGUAUGGCAGAGGGGGGUAGAAUUCCACGUGUAGCAGUGAAAUGCGUAGAGAUGUGGAGGAAUACCGAUGGCGAAGGCAGCCCCCUGGGCCAAUAUCUGACGUCAUGCACGAAAAGCGUGGGGAGCAAACAGGAUUAGAUACCCUGGUAGUCCACGCCCUAAACGAUGUCAACUAGUUGUUGGGGAUUCAUUUCCUUAGUAACGUAGCUAACGCGUGAAGUUGACCGCCUGGGGAGUACGGUCG